Molecule: ribosomal RNA, 479 nt
Filed under: Diptera sp. BAH_28362_B06
Lineage: Eukaryota; Metazoa; Arthropoda; Insecta; Diptera
Description: partial 16S ribosomal RNA
Source: RNAcentral
CUUUUAAUGGCCGCAGUAUAUUGACUGUGCAAAGGUAGCAUAAUCAUUAGAUUUUUAAUUGGAAUCUGGAAUGAAUGGUUGGAUGAAAUAUAAUCUUUUUUAAAUUAAUUAAUUGAAUUUUAUUUUUUAGUUAAAAAGCUAAAAUUUAAAAAUGGGACGAGAAGACCCCUAUAGAAUUUAAUAAUUAUUUAUUAUAUAUGAAUUAUUUAAAUUUUAUUUAUAUUAAAUAUUUAUUUUAUUGGGGAGAUAGAUAAAUUUAUAUAACUUUAAAUUUUAUAUUCAUUGAUUUAUGUAUAUAUGAUCUUAUAAUAUUGAUUAAAAAAAUAAAUUACCUUAGGGAUAACAGCAUAAUUUUUUUAAGAAGUUCUUAUUUUUAAAAAAGAUUAUGACCUCGAUGUUGGAUUAAGAAUAUAUUUAUAAGUAGAAAUAUAAUUUUAUAAGUCUGUUCGACUUUUAAAUUCUUACGUGAUCUGAGUUCA